Molecule: ribosomal RNA, 256 nt
Filed under: Escherichia coli
Lineage: Bacteria; Pseudomonadati; Pseudomonadota; Gammaproteobacteria; Enterobacterales; Enterobacteriaceae
Description: partial 16S ribosomal RNA
Rfam family: Bacterial small subunit ribosomal RNA
Source: RNAcentral
AAAUUGAAGAGUUUGAUCAUGGCUCAGAUUGAACGCUGGCGGCAGGCCUAACACAUGCAAGUCGAACGGUAACAGGAAGAAGCUUGCUUCUUUGCUGACGAGUGGCGGACGGGUGAGUAAUGUCUGGGAAACUGCCUGAUGGAGGGGGAUAACUACUGGAAACGGUAGCUAAUACCGCAUAACGUCGCAAGACCAAAGAGGGGGACCUUCGGGCCUCUUGCCAUCGGAUGUGCCCAGAUGGGAUUAGCUUGUUGGU